AUUGAACGCUGGCGGCAUGCUUUACACAUGCAAGUCGAACGGCAGCGGGGGCUUCGGCCUGCCGGCGAGUGGCGAACGGGUGAGUAAUGCAUCGAAACGUGCCCAUGUCGUGGGGGAUAACGUAGCGAAAGCUACGCUAAUACCGCAUACGUCCUGAGGGAGAAAGCGGGGGAUCUUCGGACCUCGCGCGAUUGGAGCGGCCGAUGUCGGAUUAGCUAGUUGGUGGGGUAAAGGCCCACCAAGGCGACGAUCCGUAGCGGGUCUGAGAGGAUGAUCCGCCACACUGGGACUGAGACACGGCCCAGACUCCUACGGGAGGCAGCAGUGGGGAAUUUUGGACAAUGGGCGCAAGCCUGAUCCAGCCAUGCCGCGUGAGUGAAGAAGGCCUCGG
Molecule: ribosomal RNA, 391 nt
Filed under: uncultured bacterium
Lineage: Bacteria
Description: bacterial SSU rRNA
Rfam family: Bacterial small subunit ribosomal RNA
Source: RNAcentral